RNAcentral lists this ribosomal RNA (251 nucleotides) under uncultured bacterium. RNAcentral's name for it is "partial 16S ribosomal RNA". It matches the Rfam family "Bacterial small subunit ribosomal RNA", at positions 524 to 776 of the family's 1533-position model. The record is from RNAcentral.
UACGGGGGGGCAAGCGUUGUUCGGAAUUACUGGGCGUAAAGGGCGCGUAGGCGGUUUGCUAAGUUGAAUGUGAAAACUCUGGGUUUAACCCAGAGCCUGCAUUCAAUACUGGCAGGCUAGAGUUCUGGAGGGGAUAGCGGAAUCCUGGUGUAGCGGUGAAAUGCGUAGAUAUCAGGAGGAACACCGGUGGCGAAGGUGGGUAGCUGGGCCGACACUGACGCUGAGGCGCGAAAGCCAGGGGAGCGAACGGG